This 657-nucleotide long non-coding RNA is filed under the name Pongo abelii (Sumatran orangutan). RNAcentral describes it as "lincRNA". Lineage: Eukaryota; Metazoa; Chordata; Mammalia; Primates; Hominidae. The record is from RNAcentral.
UUCUCAGGGCCUUCUGCCAAGGGCCCUCUUUGAUCUCCCUUAAAGGACAGCAUUAUCUGACCAGAGACCCAUGCAGGAGACCUCUCCAGGUACACAUAUUUCCUGCUACUGAAUGGCUUAGACUGGGAUUUGCGAGGAACUACGAAGUCCAAGACCUUUGCCUUUCUUUUAGAAGAAGUCACCAGCUGGUUCUCCAGUGUUGAAGGUCUUCUCCAUAGAUGUGCAUGCAGAAGGAGUGAAAAAACAAGAAGGAAGACAAGGAAGACAUUGUUUUAGCUGCUGACAUUUCCUGAAAAAUCUGAGGAGUCCCCUUCACUUCGGGCAUGGGACCCAGACGGCUGAGUGAUGGACCUUAAGGUGUGGGGAGAUUACAACUUGCUCAAGAUCUCAUAGCUAGAAGAUGUCAGAGUGAUAACUCAAACCAUGUCACGUGACCCUAAGCCCAAAGACGCCUCUAGAAGGUUGUUUGAUCUUCUGAAGGAAGCACAGAUCACCAUUCCAACAUGAAAGAUGGAGAAACUUAAGUCCAGAGAGAUUUAAAGGACUUGUCAAAGGCAAUGAAACAAGUGAUGAGGAAACUGAGGCCCAGAGAGGAUAAAUGACUUGCUCAAGGUUAGCCAGUUGGUCAAUGGCAAAGAUUAAACCAGAACCCAGAUC